UAUGGUUUGGUCUUUUCCAGAAUGGCCUA
This 29-nucleotide non-coding RNA is filed under the name Homo sapiens (human). The record is from RNAcentral. Lineage: Eukaryota; Metazoa; Chordata; Mammalia; Primates; Hominidae.